Physcomitrium patens is the source of this 1161-nucleotide non-coding RNA. The record is from RefSeq and is a predicted model, not a curated record. Lineage: Eukaryota; Viridiplantae; Streptophyta; Bryopsida; Funariales; Funariaceae.
UUACCUCCUCCUCCGAGUCCUUGCUCUUGGUCGCAACGCGUGCGGUAUCGCUUUUUGUAUGCCAAGGAGACUAGCGUUGUUUCGAGGUCAUGGGGCGUGGUUACUCUUUUGGGCAGUUGGGGUGCAAGAGAUUUCUCACCUGCUUCUGAAAAGAGAGACUAAAUAACCAGACCUUAAAAUUACUUUUCAUCCCUCUUGCCGAGGACUCUCAAGCUGGGGAUGCAGUUCAUAGUGAACCAGUUGUUCAGUGUUUCGAUGAGGCGGUCGAGCUCCAUCUGUGUAAUCCCGUGUGAUUCUGACGAGAGAGCAAGAGAGCGAGAGGAAGGUGCGGAUGAAAUGGGCUUGCGCAUUAUCGCUUUAAAUACGCAUCUCGAAUAGCUUAUUGAAAUUACAGUCUGCACAAUUGGAUUGACGCCAUCUAAUCCUCCUGUACGAGAAUGCCUUUUCAUGCAGAAGUCGGCAGAGCCAGUCACAAGAACCUGGACUAGAGGGGGAUCAAAUUUCCUGUUUCAUUCCAUUAGAGGACUGUAUAUCCAAUCCCACUGAUGAAACCCUACAGUGGUACUUUGUACUUGUCCUUGUGCUCAGGUUUGUGAAGCUUGUAGAUUGGGGGCUACUGUUGCUGAAGAAUCUGCUGACUCAAAAUUCCGUCAAUGAGGUCGCCAUUGGGCCUACACCAUUGUACGAGAACACCGCGCCUUUUAUGAAUUUCGGUCACAUAAUUGGCAGUGGUGCUUAGCCAGGGUUUAGUACAAAAUGUCUGUUAGGUCCGGAGAAGGUAGCACGUGGUUUUCUUUCCUGUGGUUUGGACUAUCCCGAGCUCAUCAUGUAUACUUUCCUUGGCAUUGUUACCAACAGCAAAGCGCUGGGGCUGUGGGAGUUGCAAGCUUCAUGUGGUGGACUGUUGCGAAGUAUACGAGAGUAAAAAUGCUGUCUCUUCUACAAGCUUUUUCCGUUGCGGCAAAGAUAUUUAAGAGCUCUGAGCAACAUCUGCCAAAUGACAUAGUAAUGGUAUUACAGGUUGGAAAGUGUAUCUCGUGAUACAGCCACUUAUUGCAAGUGACUGGAAAUGCGUAUGUUCCCCAGAAAAAUAAAAGUGAGGCUCGAUAAUGCUUAAAUCUGAAGAACUCAGAAAUCACUGGAAUUACUUACUCACACUUA